CUAAAAGAACAACUGCUUCUAGCUGUUGUUACUUUCACUAAAAUAAAAAAAUCUAAGACAGAAGAAAAGCUUUGUUGAUCCACCCUGAUGAUACAGAAGCGAAAUUGCGGGAGCCGCUCAAGGGGGCCGUUCACAGCGGAGGCAAACCCAGAAGGACGAAGAACCAGGGAGAAGAGGAAGAAAAUAAGCAGCGAAGACACGAAUUAAUCCAAGAGAAGUGACCGUACGGUGCAGCAGUUGCAAGCCGAGCCGCGCAGUGGGGACUCUUCCAUCCAAUCUCUCGUAACCUGCGUGUGCCCCAGAGCCGGUGCGCUUAGCCUGUUUCAGCAGUUUUGAGGGGUCAGCAGCGUCAAGGAACGGCGAUUUGCGUGAUCUCCUCUGUUAUGUGUGUGCCUCAAAAGAAUGUUAUUUUGCUUGAAACGCAGCAAAGAGAAGCAUUCUUGAUGUGGCAGAGGUCAUAUCCACAUCCCCCGAUCUCUAAAUUGUAACGUAAUUUAGAAGAUGAAGAGCACUUCGGGAUUAUAAAAAUCUGGGCAAGGCUGAAGUUGAUUCCUUAUUUCUAGUCUUUGUAUUCAAGGAACGCAUUCAUAAAAAACAAAUAAAAUUAUAAGUAGGAGAUGAACCAAUUUAGAAA
Molecule: long non-coding RNA, 634 nt
Organism: Rhea pennata
Lineage: Eukaryota; Metazoa; Chordata; Aves; Rheiformes; Rheidae
Exons: 3
Source: RefSeq, a predicted model, not a curated record